GCUGGGAGUGGUGGUGCACCCCUGUAAUCCCAGUGGCUUGGAAGGCUGAGACAGGAGGAUUUCGAGUUCAAAGCCAGCCUCAGUAAUGGCAAAGCAUUAAGCAAGAUCCUGUCUGUA
Molecule: small RNA, 117 nt
Filed under: Marmota monax (woodchuck)
Lineage: Eukaryota; Metazoa; Chordata; Mammalia; Rodentia; Sciuridae
Source: RNAcentral